RNAcentral lists this ribosomal RNA (836 nucleotides) under uncultured archaeon. Its description in RNAcentral is "bacterial SSU rRNA". It matches the Rfam family "Archaeal small subunit ribosomal RNA", at positions 85 to 922 of the family's 1478-position model. The record is from RNAcentral.
ACCGCUCAGUAACACGUAGUCAACCUAACCUAUGGACGGGAAUAACCUCGGGAAACUGAGAAUAAUGCCCGAUAGAACACUAUACCUGGAAUGGUUUGUGUUCCAAAUGAUUUAUCGCCAUAGGAUGGGACUGCGGCCUAUCAGUUUGUUGGUGAGGUAAUGGCCCACCAAGACUAUUACAGGUACGGGCUCUGAGAGGAGUAGCCCGGAGAUGGGUACUGAGACACGGACCCAGGCCCUAUGGGGCGCAGCAGGCGAGAAAACUUUGCAAUGUGCGAAAGCACGACAAGGUUAAUCCGAGUGAUUUGUGCUAAACGAAUCUUUUGUUAGUCCUAGAAACACUAACGAAUAAGGGGUGGGCAAGUUCUGGUGUCAGCCGCCGCGGUAAAACCAGCACCUCAAGUGGUCAGGAUGAUUAUUGGGCCUAAAGCAUCCGUAGCCGGCUCUGUAAGUUUUCGGUUAAAUCUGUACGCUUAACGUACAGGCUGCCGGGAAUACUGCAAAGCUAGGGAGUGGGAGAGGUAGACGGUACUCGGUAGGAAGUGGUAAAAUGCUUUGAUCUAUCGAUGACCACCUGUGGCGAAGGCGGUCUACCAGAACACGUCCGACGGUGAGGGAUGAAAGCUGGGGGAGCAAACCGGAUUAGAUACCCGGGUAGUCCCAGCUGUAAACUAUGCAAACUCAGUGAUGCAUUGGCUUGUGGCCAAUGCAGUGCUGCAGGGAAGCCGUUAAGUUUGCCGCCUGGGAAGUACGUACGCAAGUAUGAAACUUAAAGGAAUUGGCGGGGGAGCACCACAAGGGGUGAAGCCUGCGGUUCAAUUGGACUCAACGCCGGU